This is a long non-coding RNA of Oncorhynchus tshawytscha (Chinook salmon), 474 nucleotides long. The record is from Ensembl. NCBI's taxonomy places the organism in Eukaryota, Metazoa, Chordata, Actinopteri, Salmoniformes, Salmonidae.
AUAGAAGACAGUAGAGAGGUGAUGGGGUGGAUAGAAGACAGUGAAGAGGUGAUGGGGUGGAUAGAAGACAGUAGAGAGGUGAUGGGGUGGAUAGAAGACAGUAUAAAGAGGUGAUGGGGUGGAUAGAAGACAGUGUAGAGAGGUGAUGGGGUGGAUAGAAGACAGUGAAGAGGUGAUGGGGUGGAUAGAAGACAGUGAAGAGGUGAUGGGGUGGAUAGAAGACAGUGAAGAGGUGAUGGGGUGGAUAGAAGACAGUGAAAAGAGGUGAUGGGGUGGAUAGAAGACUGUAGAGAGGUGAUGGGGUGGAUAGAAGACAGUGAAGAGGUGAUGGGGUGGAUAGAAGACAGUGAAGAGGUGAUGGGGUGGAUAGAAGACAGUGAAGAGGUGAUGGGGUGGAUAGAAGACAGUGAAGAGAGGUGAUGGGGUGGAUAGAAGACAGUGAAGAGGUGAUGGGGUGGAUAGAAGACAGUAGAG